CCUAUUUCUCAGUCUCUGUCUCUCCCUCAAACGCAAACGUAUCUCUCUCUGUCGUUCCCCCCACUCCUCUUCUACCUGUGGCUCUGCUACCCCAGACAGAUUCUAUUCUACAAAAAAAACAGAACCGCCGCAUCCAGAAAGAAAAACAUAGAACCGCGAAACGCCGAGACAGAGAUAGCAAUUUGAUUUUGAGGGUCCUUCACCAUUCUCUUUGAUUUUCGGGUUGUGGCCUACUUCCUCUCAAAAAAGAUGAAGUGGAAUACUCUAAUUUCAUCACAGCAAAGACCCCAGCUUCUUUUCCAAUUUCCUCCUUCAGUAACCCAUGGAUUAUUUUCUGCUUUCUGUUAUGCACAGCGAAAGACCAAAGCUAUAUAGUUUAGAAGCUGUCUGCAAAUUCCAGCAAUAGCAAAGUGAAAAGGGAAAAGAAAGCUAUGAGUAAUGGACACAGAUAUGAGUUAUUAAAAUACUAAACAAUUGUAUCUUUUUGGUG
Molecule: long non-coding RNA, 490 nt
Organism: Quercus lobata
Lineage: Eukaryota; Viridiplantae; Streptophyta; Magnoliopsida; Fagales; Fagaceae
Exons: 4
Source: RefSeq, a predicted model, not a curated record